CCUCCUCCGAGCGUUUCGUGGUGGGCCUGCGGUCAGCGAGCGGCGCAGGUGAUUCCUCUCUGGCGAUUGUCCAGCCAACCGUGCCAGUACUCGUCCGAGCGUUCCCCAGCGACGUCGUGCUGGAUCUAGGUCCCCAGGUAUGAGGAUGUCCAGUGUCCAUAUUUUCUGUUUUGCCCUGUUCUCCUCCCAUGGCUCAUCUAGUUGUUCCCUCUUCUCUAGAUUGGGCUAGAUCUGCAAAGCAAAUAGAGGAGGGGACAAGGUCGUAGCUAAUUGGGUUGUCUCCUCAAGGAUUAGCACAUCCUUUGAAGGAAGUAGGAGAGGGAACGAAGUAGUGGCAUCUUGUCAGCAGAUGCAGAUUUUGGUCUUGAAGAAAUUGGGAAGGUAUAAUUUAUGUUCUCCUAAUUAAGUGUUAUAUACGUCUAUGACUAUAUGUGCCUGGAGUGCGUGCUCUGUGCGACCGAGGUCUAAUGAAAAUUGAUAUAUGUCUAUGAACUGCUACUGCUACUGUCUAGAUGGAAUUUAGAUUAUGAUAAGUAUGUGAAUUUAGAAAGCUCGAGUGGUGUCUAGGGCUUGUACGUGCUUCUACAAAUUUGCUAGAUUAAUUUAUGUGUGUGCUACUGCUAGUAGUGUGAUUGACAGCGAGAAAAAAAAAGUGUGCCAUUGCUACUAGUCCUAUUGACAGUGAACUGGUACUGCUAGUGCCAUCUUUACAUCAUAUUUUUGGCUGAAAACAUUCAUGUGUAGUCAUAGAUGAUUAACUUACAACCCAGUCGUUUCAUUUAAGUCAACAUGUGGUUUAGAUGAUUGAACUUAUAAUCAGCAAAUUAUAUGAAAUUCAUUUAAAUACAUUGUUUAAACUAUUGAAAACAGUAAUUUCAGUUAAAAUUCUGUGUAAAGUAGCCAUCUGCAGCAAAAACAGGUCUUAAUCGAGUCAUUUAGAGUUACAACACCUCCAACCGUGAAAAUUGCAGCCCAAACAAACACACCCUUAAUGCAGCAACAAGGAACUCUUACGGCGAUAGAAUUGUGUGUAGUACGAUGGGAAAUAAGAAAGAUGUUGGAACUAGUUGAGCAUAGAAAAUUAUAGAAAUGAUGCUUGCCAUCAGGUUUAGUUUCUAUUGCAAUUGAUUGGUGAAGUGAGCUGAGAUUAGGUAUUGCAAUUAAUUUCUAUUGCCUGACCAAUUCAACUCUUCUUUCAGGUUGCUUGGUGGCAAGAUUUCUGCAAGUUAUUAGGACUAAUAGUACUGCAUUGGUUUUUUCUUCUCCUAGUGUACUAGAACUAGGUGUUGAAUGACUGAUGUACAAAUCCGCAGAUUUGCCAUCACUGUUAAUUACUGUUUUCGGACCAUUAUCUUAACUGAUGUACUUAUGUAUUGAAGUGAUGCAUUAUUGAAUUUGACUGACUCAUAUUGGUGCUACAUAAUCAGCACUAUGUGCAACUGAACUGUUUGGUUUACUUUAAUUU
This 1465-nucleotide long non-coding RNA is filed under the name Triticum aestivum (bread wheat). Its description in RNAcentral is "long non-coding RNA (TAES_LNC000967)". Lineage: Eukaryota; Viridiplantae; Streptophyta; Magnoliopsida; Poales; Poaceae. The record is from RNAcentral.